GUGUACUCAUGCUGGGGGUUCACCGGCACCGUGGUAGUGACCCUGUGUGCCUUGGCCUGAAGCUCGCGGGCUGCUAUCCUCCAAAACCUGGCGAAUAGCUCAUCAAGCUUGGCUUCAAGGUCGUUUUUCUCUGUGUCUCGGGUACAUGUGGCGGUGGCCAUUUUGCCUUGCUGUGCCGCUACUCGCUGCUCAUCAGAUUCUACCCCAGAGGCUCGGGCAGGGAGGUUGCCCC
Molecule: non-coding RNA, 232 nt
Organism: Pelobates cultripes (western spadefoot toad)
Lineage: Eukaryota; Metazoa; Chordata; Amphibia; Anura; Pelobatidae
Source: the annotation of a GenBank genome assembly